Molecule: small RNA, 105 nt
Filed under: Marmota monax (woodchuck)
Lineage: Eukaryota; Metazoa; Chordata; Mammalia; Rodentia; Sciuridae
Source: RNAcentral
GCCAGGUGCCCUGGUGCACACCUGUAAUCCAGCUAUGUGGGAGGCUGAGGCAGGAGGAUCACAAGUUCCAUGCCAGGCUUAGCAAUUUAGAGAGCCCUGUCUCAA